Non-coding RNA from Monodelphis domestica (gray short-tailed opossum), 2244 nucleotides. The record is from RefSeq and is a predicted model, not a curated record. Lineage: Eukaryota; Metazoa; Chordata; Mammalia; Didelphimorphia; Didelphidae.
UAUUACGGAAUACUUAAGCGGUGUGGGGUUUUUGGGAAUUUGGAUUCCUACUCUUGGGUUUGUGUUUUGGAAGAAACUGAAGGGACUCAUUGCAUACGCUCACAAUGUACAUUUCUAUGGGGCCCUACUGUCACACCAUCUGAGAAAUUGAGGUUAAAUGAUUUGACCACGACCCUGGAGCUAGCAAAGAUUCCAAAUCUAGAAUUACGUUUGCACUUCGCUUUUUCAACAGCCAAAUACAUGUACACACAUAAGUCACACAGUAGAUGUAGGCAGAGAGGGAAGGUCUACACCAGAUGCUCCAAGACAUUUGGAGGAGAGAACACUCCUGGCUGCGGAGAUAGGGCAAAGGAAAUUUCUGAGAGAAAUGAAGGAUUUCUACAGGAAAAGACUGUAAGGAAGCGCGUUUUAGAGUUAGGUCACUGCCUAUUGUAAUGCACAGAGGCCAGAGGAGGGCAGUAUGGGAUUGGGAAACUGCGCCAAUUAGAUUAAUCAUUGAAGCUUGUAAACUUUCAAAACGGUUGAAUUAAAAUAGGAAAGUUAAUGUUUAUACAGCUGUCAACUAGGAAAAAAAAUCACUCUUUAAUCAAGGGGAAAAAGGGAUUCAGCGCUACUAAGUUCCGACAACGGAGCUGCUCUCCGAGACUGCACAGAGUCUGGACGCCCUGAUCACUAAACCCUGGGAGUGCCACCCACUCAGGAUAGACUCUGAGGAACCAAAGAAUUUGGGGAACCUAUAUACCACUCCAGAUGACCUGGGGGCUUAGGAUGAGAGGGACAGUUGAUUGACUUUACAAUGGUGGUCUUCGACCUGAAUUUUUGGAUCUUGGACUGGGACUAUGGCUUGGAGCUAUGAUUUGAGACUUUGACCUGGGAUUCUGGCUCUUGGACUGCUUCUGGUAAGACUGCUCCUGGAUCGUCUUUGGAGCUUUGGCUUGGGAGUGUCCCAUCCUGGGGUUCCAGGAGAGCUCAAGGAGCAUCUCACCUGCCCACAAUGAAGUCUGCAAGAGUGGAGAUCAAAAAGUUGGAGGAUCUUGGACUGGGACUUCAACUUGGAGCUAGGACUUGGACCUGGGACUCUGGAUCUUAGACUGCUUCUAGUAAGACUGCUCCUGGAUCUUCUUACUUUGGUGCUUCAUCUUGGGUGAGUGAAAAGCUGCCUCUCCUUUCCUGGCUUCUGGAGAGAUUCAUUCUGGAGAGGCCUCCCCUUCUUGUAGGAGGUCACAUGGGUUGGACCCUUGUUUAAUUCACCACUGAGUCCUAUGACUGAGGGGUUAAUGAGCUCUGCCUGGGUUGAGCCAGGGACAGAGCAACAUUAGGGUGAUAGGCAAGACAUUUUCUCUACCUUCUUUUACAUUCCUCUACUUUCACUUUUUCCACCUCUUUGUAAAUAAAACUAUUGAAAGUCAAUUUGACUUGAGCUAUACUAUUUUUAAAUUGGUGACUAUAAUAUUAUCUUAAGAUUCUUAUAUAUAUAGUCCAACCACAAAAUUUAAUUCCUUUUGGGGGGAGAAUUACCCACAAAUAGAGAAUUACAUACCUACCUACAGAAGUGUCCUUCUUCCAAAAAUGUCUUAUCUUUAACCUAUUUGUAUUGAUUCAUUUCAUAUUUAUGGUGCAUACAUACAUAUAUAUAUGGUACAUAUAUAUGUACUUGUGGAUAUAUAUAAUAUGAAUAUGUAUGUGUAUAUAUGUAUGUAUAUGUUUAUAUAAUUGUCAAGUCUCCCCUACAUUAGAGCCUCCUGUUACAUUAGAAUGUAAAACUCUUUGUUAGGAGGGAUUAUUUCAUUCUUUGUACUUCUAUCCUUGGCCCCUAGCACAAUGGUUGGCAGGUAGUACUUAUAGAUUGGUUGGAUCAACAAGCAUUUAUUAGGCAGUUAUUAUGCAUAUGCUGUGUUAUACAUACAAAGAAAGGCUGAACUAGAUCCUGUCUUUAAAAAGGGAAAUGUAAAUAACACUCAUUAUAGCAAAUAAAGUUUUCUUUCUUUCUUUUUUUACAGUAGUGGUGAAGGGAGUGAGUCAUAGUGUAAAUGAUUUACAUUUUACCAAGAAUACUAAUAUUUGAUUAUUGUUUUCAGAGUAGGGGGUAGAAAGUGGGGUGGGAAGCCAAGGUAGAGUAGAACUGCAUGGCAAAAAGAAAGUAGGAAUAUAUCAUGGUGGACCUGGAAGUGCCACAACAUAAUGAACUCUCAUCAAGAAUACAGGACCCAGGGUAGGAGCAGCAGUUGUUAGGUUAGAAGUUGA